This 217-nucleotide ribosomal RNA is filed under the name Drosophila simulans. RNAcentral describes it as "partial 28S ribosomal RNA". The record is from RNAcentral. Lineage: Eukaryota; Metazoa; Arthropoda; Insecta; Diptera; Drosophilidae.
AAGCUUAUCCUUUGCUUGAUGAUUCGAUAAAUAAAUGAUUUUUUCCUGUAGCCAAACACCUCGUCAUCAAUUUAGUGACGCAUAUGAUAUUGUCCCUAUCAUAUAAUUUUUGAUAUAAAGACUUUAAAGAAUUGUAUCAAGUUGCCAAACACCUCGUCAUCAAUUUAGUGACGCAUAUGAUAUUGUCCCUAUCAUAUAAUUAAUAUAAAGACUUUAA